CUGUAAUAUCCCUCGCUUUUAAAAAUUAUUAAUAAAGAUUUAUAUGUAAAUUGGAGGACCUAUAUGUAAAUAUAGAAAUUACAAGGACUAAACUGCUAAGUUACAAAAAAAAAAGAAAAAAAAAAGGAAAAACCGAAAAUUCGGUAUUAUCCCACCGCCUCCCACGCACUCUGUUUCUUCCAGAAACAGAGAGAGCGGUGGGGCGUGAGGAGAAGAAGGAGAGUGGUAGAAGAAGAGAGGAAGAAGAGGGAGAAGAGAAGAAGAAGAAGAAGAAGAAGAAGAAGAGGGAAAAGAAGAGAGGAGGAAGAAGAGGGAGUAGAGAAGAAGAAGAAGGAGAAGAAGAAGAAGAGGAGGUGGCUGCAGCGAGGGCUGCAGCGAGAAGCUGUGGGGCGUGGGGAGAAGAAGAGAGGAAGAAGAGGGAGAAGAGAAGAAGAAGAAGAAGAAGAAGAGAAGAGGAUAGCUGCGGCAAGGCUGCAGCGAGGAGGUGUGGGGUUGGGGAGGAAAAGGGAAGAGGAGAAGAAGAGGGAAAAGAGAGGGAAGAGGGAGAGGAGCGAGAGGUGGCAGCAGCUAGGGCUGCAGCACCUCUGUUUCCUGAAGGUGGAAACAGAGGAGAGGUGUGGGGCGUUCGAAGAGGAGAAGAAGAAGAAGAGGAAGAGAAGAGGAAGAGGAAGCAGGGGAAGAGGUUGUGAUACCUCUGUUUCCUGCAGAGGAAACAGAGGAGAGGGUGUGGGUGACGUCGGGGAGAAGAAGGGGAGGAAGGAGAAGAAGAGAAGAAGAAGAAAGGAAGGAAAAGGAAGAGGAGAAGGGAAGAAAGUAGCUGCGGCUGCGGUUGUGGCAGCUGCAGCUGUGGCAGGGAAAGAAGAAGAGAAAGGAAGAAGGGGAGGAGAGGAAGAAGAGUAGGGGCUGCGGCUGCGGCGAUGGCAGCUGCAGUUGGAAGAGAAGAAGGAGAGGAAGAUGAGCAGGGGAGGAAGAAAAGGCUGUGGCCGUGGCUGAGGCUGCGACUGCAGCAUGCAGCUGGGAAAGAAGAGAAGGAAAGGAAGAAGAAGAGAAAGGAAGAAGGGAAGGAGAGGAAGAAGAGAAGGGGCUGCGGCUGCGGCGAUGGCAGCUGCAGUUGGAAGAGAAGAAGGAGAGGAAGAUGAGCAGGGGAGGAAGAAAAGGCUGUGGCCGUGGCUGAGGCUGCGACUGCAGCAUGCAGCUGGGAAAGAAGAGAAGGAAAGGAAGAAGAAGAGAAAGGAAGAAGGGAAGGAGAGGAAGAAGAGAAGGGGCUACGGCUGCGGCGAUAGCAGCUGCAGUUGGAAGAGAAGAAGGAGAGGAAGAUGAGCAGGGGAGGAAGAAGAGGCUGCGAGUGUGGUGGCUGCGGCCGUGGCUGCGACUCCGGCUGCGGCUGCAACGUUGGCUGCGGUAGCUGCGGCAGCGGUGGUGGCUGCAGUAGCUGCAGUAGCUGCUUUUGGGAAAGAGAAAGAGUAGGAACGAGAGAAGGGAAGAAGGAAAUAGUGCAGUGGAAGGGGGCUGCGGUUGUGACCGCAGUUGCGGUCGUGGCUGCGAUUGUGGCAGCGGCAGCGACGACGGCUGUGGCAGCUGUGUUUGGGAAAGAAAAAAAGAAGGAAUGAGAGUAAGAGAGAGCAGGUGACUGUGCCUCGAUGUUCGACACGUGAUGUAGUUGCGAAGAAAGGAAGAAAACGGGAGCACAAAACGAAACAGAGAGAGGACACGGACAAAAAGUAGAAGGAUUUGGGCUGGCACCUUCUUUGGAUCUUCGGAUCGAAAUCAUUGAAAGGUCAGCUUGUCACUCUUCGAGAUGUUUGAUUUGGGCUGAGGCAGUGGAUAGCUAUUCAGAAUAAUGGGCAAGUUUGGUUGGUUAUUACGAUAUUGUUGUAUAAGUAUGUCUUGUAUGUAAUGAAAUGUUGUCGAUGAACCGAAAUGGAUAUACUGUAUCAAAGCGUUAGGAGAUCUCUCUUAUUUGGAAUUUUAGAAUGUUAAGUCUAAUUUAUGGUGAUAUGAACUUGUGGUGAAUAGUUGGAGUUCUGAUUGUAUAAUUUAUUUAGCUUGUGGAUUUAUAAAUGUUGUUCAUGUUUGUCAA
This is a long non-coding RNA of Musa acuminata AAA Group (dessert banana), 2080 nucleotides long. RefSeq lists it as uncharacterized. The transcript has 2 exons. The record is from RefSeq and is a predicted model, not a curated record. NCBI's taxonomy places the organism in Eukaryota, Viridiplantae, Streptophyta, Magnoliopsida, Zingiberales, Musaceae.